Long non-coding RNA from Lutra lutra (Eurasian river otter), 878 nucleotides. RefSeq lists it as uncharacterized. The transcript has 3 exons. Lineage: Eukaryota; Metazoa; Chordata; Mammalia; Carnivora; Mustelidae. The record is from RefSeq and is a predicted model, not a curated record.
UACCCCUGGGGGCAGCAAUCCCCCACCACUGGGAACUGUGCUAAGGCGCUCUCCCAUGUGUAGGGUCCUUGGGCAUAAAGUAAAACACAUGCAGCUGACCCUCGGGGUAUGGCUAGUAAACAACCAGUUGAUUCCGAUUCCUUUGUGCUUGAGAUGACUCCGAGGAGCAGGAGCCUUGACUAGACACCACCUGGCUUUGCCUCCAAACCCAGAGGGAAAUGGAUGGAGGGAGUCUAGGAAUCUGGGUGACCAGCAGCUUUAAAAGGCGACAGGAGGAAAGAUUUCCACGACAACCUUAAUCCUCUGAGAGCUUCUCAAGACCUACACGUGAAACACAGGCCUAAGUCUAGACCCCAAUUAAAACCUCAAAGAGGCUUUUUCAUAUCCCCCAAUCCCAAUUUGCCAGCCAAGAUCCCAGGCCCGCAGGACCUUGUUUCUUCCACUCUUGCACCAAACCAGCAGACUUUCCUCACAGACCCCAGACUCCAAAGGCCUCAAACCUGGAGUUUUGAGGAAAUUAAUACUAAUGGGAACUGGGACUCUGAAGAGAAAAAGAAAUCUUCAUUUUGGAAGGAAUGGGAAAAGAAAAAUCCCGUCAGGACAAGGUUCCUCCAGCAGCAUUGAGCAAGUCAAGGCACCAAACCAUCAAAGAAAAAAUGAAAUUUCCUAUACAAGGAGACCAUCUUGUCAGAACCACACCACAGAGCUGGUAAAACCAAAAAGGGUUCUGGAUUUUUAGCCAUACCAACCUGAGGGUUGGUGUUAGAGUCUAUAGCAAGAUGUGGAGGGGAGAGCAGUAGGGACAGGUAGACCACGGUCCCUUUAUUGGAAGGGAUAUUCAUCUUGCCAGAAUUUCAUUUUUAAGUCCCUGAAUACUC